UCUCCGUUGGUGAACCAGCGGAGGGAUCAUUACCGAGUUAUCAACUCCCAAACCCCUGUGAACAUACCACUACGUUGCCUCGGCGGGACCGCCCCGGCGCCCCUAGCGGCCCGGAACCAGGCGCCCGCCGGAGGACCCAAACUCUUGCUUUGAACAGGGGCAUACUCUCUGAGUCUCAAAAACAAAAAUAAAUUAAAACUUUCAACAACGGAUCUCUUGGCUCUG
This 225-nucleotide unclassified non-coding RNA is filed under the name plant metagenome. Its description in RNAcentral is "partial contains small subunit ribosomal RNA, internal transcribed spacer 1, and 5.8S ribosomal RNA". The record is from RNAcentral.